Molecule: ribosomal RNA, 489 nt
Filed under: uncultured bacterium
Lineage: Bacteria
Description: bacterial SSU rRNA
Rfam family: Bacterial small subunit ribosomal RNA
Source: RNAcentral
GACGAACGCUGGCGGCGUGCCUAACACAUGCAAGUCGAGCGGAGAAUGCAGAAAUGUUUACAUGGAAGCGUUCUUAGCGGCGGACGGGUGAGUAACACGUGGGUAACCUGCCUCAAAGUGGGGGAUAGCCUUCCGAAAGGAAGAUUAAUACCGCAUAAGCCUACAGUGCCGCAUGGCACAGCAGGAAAAGGAGCAAUCCGCUUUGAGAUGGACCCGCGGCGCAUUAGCUAGUUGGUGAGGUAACGGCUCACCAAGUCGACGAUCAGUAGCCGGACUGAGAGGUUGAACGGCCACAUUGGGACUGAGACACGGCCCAGACUCCUACGGGAGGCAGCAGUGGGGGAUAUUGCACAAUGGGCGCAAGCCUGAUGCAGCGACGCCGCGUGAGGGAAGACGGUCUUCGGAUUGGUAAACCUCUGUCUUUGGGGACGAUAAUGACGGUACCUAAGGAGGAAGCUCCGGCUAACUACGUGCCAGCAGCCGCGGUAA